GACGUAGGUGGCGAACGUUAUCCGGAAUUAUUGGGCGUAAAGGGUGCGUAGGCGGCAUAAUAAGUUAUUGGCGGGAAAUCGAGGCUCAACCUCGUGGAAACUGACAAUACUGUUUUGCUUGAGUACAGGAGAGGUUAACGGAACUCCAUGUGGAGCGGUAAAAUGUGUAGAUAUAUGGAAGAACAUCAAUAACGGCGAAGGCAGUUAACUAUUCUGUUACUGACAUUGAGGCACGAAAGCGUGGGGAGCAAAACGG
This 256-nucleotide ribosomal RNA is filed under the name uncultured bacterium. RNAcentral describes it as "partial 16S ribosomal RNA". It matches the Rfam family "Bacterial small subunit ribosomal RNA", at positions 524 to 776 of the family's 1533-position model. The record is from RNAcentral.